This 422-nucleotide ribosomal RNA is filed under the name uncultured bacterium. RNAcentral describes it as "partial 16S ribosomal RNA". It matches the Rfam family "Bacterial small subunit ribosomal RNA", at positions 362 to 776 of the family's 1533-position model. The record is from RNAcentral.
UAUUGUAUAUUGGGGGAAACACUGAUCCAGCCAUCUCGCGUGUAUGAUUAAUGUCUUCGGGUUGUAAAGUACUUUUGGCAGUGCAGAGAAGGUAUCCACUAAUACCGGAUACUGCUGGCGGUAUCUGCAGAAUAAGCACCGGCUGACUACGUGCCAGAAGCCGCGGUAAUACGUAGGGUGCAAGCGUUAAUCGGAAUUACUGGGCGUAAAGCGUGUGUAGGCGGUUCGGAAAGAAAGAUGUGAAAUACCAGGGCUCAACCUUGGAACUGCAUUUUUAACUGCCGAGCUAGAGUAUGUCAGAGGGGGGUAGAAUUCCACGUGUAGCAGUGAAAUGCGUAGAUAUGUGGAGGAAUACCGAUGGCGAAGGCAGCCCCCUGGGAUAAUACUGACGCUCAGACACGAAAGCGUGGGGAGCAAACAGG